Non-coding RNA from Camellia sinensis, 174 nucleotides. The record is from RefSeq and is a predicted model, not a curated record. NCBI's taxonomy places the organism in Eukaryota, Viridiplantae, Streptophyta, Magnoliopsida, Ericales, Theaceae.
UUCUCUCUCUACAACAUCUAUGCUUCCGCAGCUCUUCCUCCUCUUCAACCACAUCUUGAUGCAACAUAUUCAUCCAAAAAUGAAUAUUAAACACAAGGCCAGUGGAAGCAAGAGCAAGAUGGUGAUAAUCAUGAUCAUGUUGCUUAGAGCUUUAGAGCCUUGAAUAGAUAACCA